UUAGAUCUAGGGAUUCUCUAAUUUUACAAGAUAAAUUUUGAUUUAUGUUAGUCUUCCGCUGCCUGAUCUUGAAAAAGUUUCAAGAUCUAAUCCUGAAAUCCUAGAUCUGGUUCCUUCACCUGAGUGUGUUGAAACUAGAAAAGGAGAAAAAUUUUAAGGCUGAUCCCAAGUUAGCUGAGGAAUUUAAGGAAGAUAAAGAUGUUCUGGGCUAUAUUCGGAUAGAGCA
RNAcentral lists this long non-coding RNA (226 nucleotides) under Elaeis guineensis (African oil palm). Its description in RNAcentral is "long non-coding RNA (EGUI_LNC046736)". The record is from RNAcentral. Lineage: Eukaryota; Viridiplantae; Streptophyta; Magnoliopsida; Arecales; Arecaceae.